This 3037-nucleotide long non-coding RNA is filed under the name Sus scrofa (pig). RNAcentral describes it as "lncRNA (ENSSSCG00005034060.1)". Lineage: Eukaryota; Metazoa; Chordata; Mammalia; Artiodactyla; Suidae. The record is from RNAcentral.
AGAUUCAGGCCUGCAAGCCAAGGUCUGGGGAGAGGAACAGAAGGAAGAGAACUGCCCUGGAGAUCUGAGGCCGCCUCGGUGUAAUCCUCUCAGGCCCUUGGAACUAAAAUCCCAAGGCAGGCCUGACACAUCGCUGCAAAAUUCUAGAGUGGAUCGUCCAACCCUAAAAGUGGGACAACCAGGGAGAAAACCAGCUGGAGCAUUUGCUGCAGUUCUCACUCCACCUUCCAGAAUUCUCCAGGGCGACACUCACCUCCAAAAAUCCCACCUCUUCUUUCCAGCGUGGAAGCCGGUGAGUGACGCCUGGCUAGUAAGGGGUUGUUCAGGUGAAGAGUUUAGAAAGGACCCCCCAAAAGAGACCCCCUCUUAGGGCAAGCCUUCUUCCAGCGUCUGUCAAGAGUAGUAUGUACCUCCCAGCUCACAGUUGGUUUGUGGUCUUCGACAAAUUAAUAUUACUGUUUAUUACCAGGCAUACCCCAAUAAAAUAAAGAGGCAACCAGGCGAUACGGGCUAUCUCACCAGCCGCUGCACCUAUAGGACUUGGAGACGUCACGAGUCACGCAACCGAACCGCGAGCUGUCACGCUCAACUGGGGGGCAGCGGCGGGAGGAGGAGCACUCAGCAUACGUGAAUUGAGGCGCCUCUCUAGCUGGUUAAGUUUGGGACGCGAUAACUCAGUGUCCGCCAGCGGACUUGCAUAUAAGUAAUCACUGGGUUAUCGCGGAGCGGGGGAAGAAACAGAGACUUUAGGGAGAAGGGAGAGCCCUGCGCAGUGUUUCUUGCAAAGAAAAAGUCCAUUCUGCGAAUCCUCCUCUAGCUAGGUCGGGGAUGCAACCCGUCCCAGCGUGGCCUGGCGGGGGCGGGGUGCGAGUGGGUGGUGAGGUGGGGAUGAAGAAGGGUAAUUUCUGCAGAGAAAAAUCAGUACCAGGUCCUGCAGAGGGACGAGGCGCUCUAUUUUGUUUUGCAAUAACGAUUAUUCUUGUUACUGGUCUCAUCUAUGGGCAUAACGUCUAAGCAGCCCCGCGGCGGAUGCGCACAAGGUUUAGCGCGCAGCUGGAAACGCUCUAAGUACUGUUGCGAAACGUACUGCAUAGACGCCCCCCGCGACGCCGAGAGGAGAGCUAGGCCUACUCUGCACCGAGCCUGCGAGCUCCCGACCUUCCGGAAGGCUUGGGCCACGAGCACGGAGCACCGAAGCAGGGUUUCUGGCCUUUGGGGGCAGCCCUGGCCGAAAGGUCCAGAAGCGAGGACCCCCAAACGCCGCGAGGACCCCCAAACGCCUCGAUCCCCCGGCGCAAUCACACCCAGAAAGCUCUAGGGGUGAAAUUGACAGAGGCCGGCCCUGGGGGUGCAACUGACAGUGGUUCCUGGUGGAAAAGUUCCGGGCAAUUGUUUCCGCCAGGGCCCUGUUUUCCUGGUCGCCAUGGCAACCCUGGAGUCCCCACGAACGCCCUCCACAAUCGGGCGCUUGGAGGACAAUCGCCGCGCACUUUUGCCGCGCUCCUUGAGGCCUGCAAGGCGCUUCCGCCCUCCGCUCUGGGUUUUCCGGAGCCUCCCUAGUGAGUUCAGCACCGCAGGGAUUGAAAAACUCUCCUCCUUUUUUAAACAGGGGAGAAAAUCGCGAUUUAGGAGAAUCACUGCCAGGUAGGUUUGGGUCUCCAGCAAAAGCUCACGCUUUGAGUUGAAAGCGAUGCCCUCAGAGACGCGCGCGCGGGCAGCCGGUAGAAUACUUUUCACCCAAACCCUGAUCGCGAACGUCUCAGCCAGGGACCCGGAACUCACGGAGUCUCUUCACUUAAGCCGAUCACCCCCACGGGUACCCGAGGUUCCCCGCGUGGGUCUGGGCAACCUCGUCGCCUGCCUGGAAGAACGUCUCCUAAAUGGGAGGAGGAAAGUCGGAAACUAAAAUUCAUGUCUGCAGGGUCUUACUGAAAAAAAACAAUAAAUUAUACUCCUUUCCUGCAAGGGAGAAAGUUGUUCAAGUGUGGAUGUACUUAUAAAGAGCAUUAAAUAAUAUCGGAGGGAGCACUGCUUUUUCCUUGGACCUGUGGAGGGAAAUGCCCCUCUUUUUUUGUGGGGUGGACAGCGGACGGCACAGAACGGCUUUUCUGUGUGCAUUUGGGAGGCAGCAGCUCUCAGAAAGAACCAGGGUGCGCAUCAGCUUGGAUGCUGGGUUUGUAGGGAUGCUGGGAGAGAGAGUUGGCCUCUGAACGAGGGAGCGAGUCUUCCUCUGCCUCUGAUCCUGAUCCUAGUUUCUCUCUCGCCUGUGGACCUCAUUCAUCUCCCAGCUGGUCAAGACAAAACUCUCCCUCUGCUUCUGAUGGGUCACCCAAGGUCCCCAAAGCGCUGGACUGUCUUGUAGCAUCUCUAGCCAUUUUUUUUUCCCCAACUGAAUCUGAAAGCCUACAGCCUAUAGGGGUUCCCUUAGCACACCCAAGCCCCUGUCUUCUUUCCUUCCCAGCAUUUUGCUUCCAUAUUUUCAGAAGAGUCCUGCUUGUGUCCACAGGGGCACAGGACAGAGGGUCAGAGAGCCAUUCGCACUUGAGGUGCCCCUCGGAGUCAACAUUUAUAGCAAGCCGGGAGUGGUUGUAACACGAUUUUGCUCAGCUCAGCUAGCUCCAAAUAUCUCCGUGAGAAGGUGGCUCCAGGCCAGUCCUACCCUGGUGGGACUUGAACCCAGACACUCUGAUUCCAGAAGCCAGGAGCUAUUCCUUUUACAGGACCGGGAAAGGGAAUGAAUGGGAAAAGGUCUCUUGGAAUAGGGGAGGGGGAUACAAAGGGUACUUUUUUAAGCACUGAAAGUGUAGGCUGAAGCUGAAUCCUGAAUCGUGGAUAAAGGCUUAGAUCUCUUUUCAAGUCACUCACUCUCUCCUCUCUCCACCCUCACCCAGGAGGCAGAGGGACCCAGAAAGGGCCUGUGGGCUUUACAGCCACAGAUCCAGAGCCCUUCGAGGGACAGGAGGGAGGAUGGGGAGAGGCUGACCUCUCCUCUCCAAACCUCAGCGCUUCUCUUCCCAAACCCUGGCCCAUAUUCAUC